GCAGUCGAGCGGAAGGCCCUUCGGGGUACUCGAGCGGCGAACGGGUGAGUAACACGUGAGCAACCUGCCCUAGGCUUUGGGAUAACCCCGGGAAACCGGGGCUAAUACCGAAUAUGACCUGGCCUCGCAUGAGGCUUGGUGGAAAGUUUUUCGGCCUGGGAUGGGCUCGCGGCCUAUCAGCUUGUUGGUGGGGUGAUGGCCUACCAAGGCGACGACGGGUAGCCGGCCUGAGAGGGCGACCGGCCACACUGGGACUGAGACACGGCCCAGACUCCUACGGGAGGCAGCAGUGGGGAAUAUUGCACAAUGGGCGGAAGCCUGAUGCAGCGACGCCGCGUGAGGGAUGACGGCCUUCGGGUUGUAAACCUCUUUCAGCAGGGACGAAGCGUAAGUGACGGUACCUGCAGAAGAAGCGCCGGCCAACUACGUGCCAGCAGCCGCGGUAAGACGUAGGGCGCGAGCGUUGUCCGGAUUUAUUGGGCGUAAAGAGCUCGUAGGCGGCUUGUCGCGUCGACUGUGAAAACCCGCAGCUCAACUGCGGGCCUGCAGUCGAUACGGGCAGGCUAGAGUUCGGUAGGGGAGACUGGAAUUCCUGGUGUAGCGGUGAAAUGCGCAGAUAUCAGGAGGAACACCGGUGGCGAAGGCGGGUCUCUGGGCCGAUACUGACGCUGAGGAGCGAAAGCGUGGGGAGCGAAC
RNAcentral lists this ribosomal RNA (696 nucleotides) under Micromonospora sp. YIM 63174. RNAcentral's name for it is "bacterial SSU rRNA". It matches the Rfam family "Bacterial small subunit ribosomal RNA", at positions 57 to 773 of the family's 1533-position model. The record is from RNAcentral. RNAcentral also lists the same sequence under 1 other name. Lineage: Bacteria; Bacillati; Actinomycetota; Actinomycetes; Micromonosporales; Micromonosporaceae.